RNAcentral lists this ribosomal RNA (307 nucleotides) under uncultured bacterium. RNAcentral describes it as "partial 16S ribosomal RNA". It matches the Rfam family "Bacterial small subunit ribosomal RNA", at positions 506 to 807 of the family's 1533-position model. The record is from RNAcentral.
AGACAGCAGUCGCCGCGGUAAUACGGAGGGUGCAAGCGUUAUCCGGAUUUAUUGGGUUUAAAGGGUCCGUAGGCGGAUCUGUAAGUCAGUGGUGAAAUCUCACAGCUUAACUGUGAAAAUGCCAUUGAUACUGCAGGUCUUGAGUAAAUUUGAAGUGGCUGGAAUAAGUAGUGUAGCGGUGAAAUGCAUAGAUAUUACUUAGAACACCAAUUGCGAAGGCAGGUCACUAAGAUUUAACUGACGCUGAUGGACGAAAGCGUGGGGAGCGAACAGGAUUAGAUACCCCUGUAGUCCCUGUCUCUUAUAC